CCUACGGGUGGCUGCAGUGGGGAAUAUUGGGCAAUGGAGGCAACUCUGACCCAGCAAUGCCGCGUGAGUGAUGAAGGUAAUUUUAUUGUAAAGCUCUUUUCUUUGGAACGAAUAAAUGACGGUACCAAAGGAAUAAGCCCCGGCUAACUACGUGCCAGCAGCCGCGGUAAUACGGAGGAUGCGAGCGUUAUCCGGAUUUAUUGGGUUUAAAGGGUGCGUAGGCGGGCUGUUAAGUCAGCGGUAAAAGCCCGGGGCUCAACCCCGGCGAGCCGUUGAAACUGGCUGUCUUGAGAUGUCGAGAGGUAUGCGGAAUGCGCAGUGUAGCGGUGAAAUGCUUAGAUAUUGCGCAGAACUCCGAUUGCGAAGGCAGCAUACCGGCGGCGAUCUGACGCUGAGGCACGAAAGCGUGGGUAUCGAACAGGAUUAGAUACCCCAGUAGUC
Molecule: ribosomal RNA, 441 nt
Filed under: uncultured bacterium
Lineage: Bacteria
Description: partial 16S ribosomal RNA
Rfam family: Bacterial small subunit ribosomal RNA
Source: RNAcentral